GACGAACGCUGGCGGCGUGCUUAACACAUGCGAGUCGAACGGAAAGGCCCUGCUUUUGUGGGGUGCUCGAGUGGCGAACGGGUGAGUAACACGUGAGUAACCUGCCCUUGACUUUGGGAUAACUUCAGGAAACUGGGGCUAAUACCGGAUAGGAGCUCCUGCUGCAUGGGGGGGGUUGGAAAGUUUCGGCGGUUGGGGAUGGACUCGCGGCUUAUCAGCUUGUUGGUGGGGUAGUGGCUUACCAAGGCUUUGACGGGUAGCCGGCCUGAGAGGGUGACCGGCCACAUUGGGACUGCGAUACGGCCCAGACUCCUACGUGAGGCAGCAGUGGGGAAUAUUGCACAAUGGGCGGAAGCCUGAUGCAGCAACGCCGCGUGCGGGAUGACGGCCUUCGGGUUGUAAACCGCUUUCGCCUGUGACGAAGCGUGAGUGACGGUAAUGGGUAAAGAAGCACCGGCUAACUACGUG
RNAcentral lists this ribosomal RNA (468 nucleotides) under uncultured bacterium. RNAcentral describes it as "partial 16S ribosomal RNA". It matches the Rfam family "Bacterial small subunit ribosomal RNA", at positions 28 to 507 of the family's 1533-position model. The record is from RNAcentral.